Molecule: ribosomal RNA, 327 nt
Filed under: Linothele sp. ZSM-A 2017/0069
Lineage: Eukaryota; Metazoa; Arthropoda; Arachnida; Araneae; Dipluridae
Description: partial 12S ribosomal RNA
Source: RNAcentral
GUUUCUUAAUCGACAUUUCACGUUAACUUUCACUCCAUUUCCAGUUUUUAUACCGUCGUCUCUAGAAUAAGUUUUAAAAUUUAUUCGUCAAAUUUAAGAUAUUAAGUCAGAUCAAGGUGAAGCCUAUAAUUGAGAUCUUAAUGAGUUAUACAUUAAUACUAUUAAAAGAUUAUUUAUAAAAAUUUGCAUGAAUUAAGAUUUGAUAGUACAAAUAAAUUAAAAAUUCAUUUGGAACAUUUCCUUUAAGGUGUACAUAUCGCCCGUCACCCUCAUCUAAAGAUGAGGUAAGUCGUAACACAGUUAAUAUACUGGAAAGUGUAUUAGGGG